GACGGAGGAGGCAAGCGUUACUCGGAAUUACUGGGCGUAAAGCGUGCGUAGGUGGUUCGUUAAGUCUGAUGUGAAAGCCCUGGGCUCAACCUGGGAAUGGCAUUGGAAACUGGCGGACUGGAGUGCGGUAGAGGGUAGCGGAAUUCCCGGUGUAGCAGUGAAAUGCGUAGAGAUCGGGAGGAACAUCCGUGGCGAAGGCGGCUACCUGGACCAGCACUGACACUGAGGCACGACAGCGUGGGGAGCAAACAGG
Molecule: ribosomal RNA, 253 nt
Filed under: uncultured bacterium
Lineage: Bacteria
Description: partial 16S ribosomal RNA
Rfam family: Bacterial small subunit ribosomal RNA
Source: RNAcentral